Non-coding RNA from Pimephales promelas (fathead minnow), 333 nucleotides. The record is from RefSeq and is a predicted model, not a curated record. NCBI's taxonomy places the organism in Eukaryota, Metazoa, Chordata, Actinopteri, Cypriniformes, Leuciscidae.
UUAUUGGCCAGUAGCAAUACUUUGUAAACAAUAACUUAAUAGGUAACCAGUUUAGAGAUUAUCAAAUUGGAGUUAUAUGGUGCUAUUUUCUUGCUGUGCAUGUUUUAGGAAUUGUUUGGAGGAAGAAAAUGCCUCUCAUGUCUUUACAGGUUCUGUUACUUUCCAGGUGCAACUCCACCCAUCUACCUAAUUUGUAUAUAAGAGAAGAAAAUAUAUGGCGUCAUGCAGAAACCUCGAAAAUAGCCGUUACAGGAACACACAUCUGUCCAAGACAGGAUUUUCAUGGUUGUAUAACUUGGGAGAAGAAAUUCUACAUUCCGGAAACAAAGAUUU